CCUACGGGGGGCUGCAGUGGGGAAUAUUGGACAAUGGGGGGAACCCUGAUCCAGCCAUGCCGCGUGUGUGAAGAAGGCCCUCGGGUUGUAAAGCACUUUCAGUGAGGAAGAACGCCUGGUGGUUAAUACCCAUCAGGAAAGACAUCACUCACAGAAGAAGCACCGGCUAACUCCGUGCCAGCAGCCGCGGUAAUACGGAGGGUGCGAGCAUUAAUCGGAAUUACUGGGCGUAAAGCGCGCGUAGGUGGCUUGAUAAGCCGGUUGUGAAAGCCCCGGGCUCAACCUGGGAACGGCAUCCGGAACUGUCAAGCUAGAGUGCAGGAGAGGAAGGUAGAAUUCCCGGUGUAGCGGUGAAAUGCGUAGAGAUCGGGAGGAAUACCAGUGGCGAAGGCGGCCUUCUGGACUGACACUGACACUGAGGUGCGAAAGCGUGGGUAGCAAACAGGAUUAGAUACCCGUGUAGUC
Molecule: ribosomal RNA, 465 nt
Filed under: Vreelandella stevensii
Lineage: Bacteria; Pseudomonadati; Pseudomonadota; Gammaproteobacteria; Oceanospirillales; Halomonadaceae
Description: partial 16S ribosomal RNA
Rfam family: Bacterial small subunit ribosomal RNA
Source: RNAcentral